RNAcentral lists this unclassified non-coding RNA (363 nucleotides) under soil metagenome. RNAcentral describes it as "partial contains 5.8S ribosomal RNA, internal transcribed spacer 2, and large subunit ribosomal RNA". The stretch from base 1 to 120 matches the Rfam family "5.8S ribosomal RNA", at positions 35 to 154 of the family's 154-position model. The record is from RNAcentral.
GAUGAAGAACGUAGCGAAAUGCGAUAAGUAGUGUGAAUUGCAGAAUUCCGUGAAUCAUCGAAUCUUUGAACGCACAUUGCGCCCCCUGGCAUUCCUAGGGGCAUGCCUGUUCGAGCGUCAUUAACAACCAUCAAGCGGGACCUGUCUGCCUCGCUUGGCCAUGGGGGAUGGCCGCCCUCGGGGCGCCCACCCCCGAAAUACAACGGCGGACAGCCACCACGGGGCACCCGGGCGUAGUAAGUUGCUCGCUCGCCCGCGCCCACGGAAUGGACUGUCCGGCCGGUCGAACCCCCAACAUCCAAUGGUUGACCUCGGAUCAGGUAGGGAUACCCGCUGAACUUAAGCAUAUCAAUAAGCGGAGGA